GACGAGGGGUCCUAGCGUUGUUCGGAAUUACUGGGCGUAAAGCGCACGUAGGCGGCUUCUUAAGCCAGGGGUGAAAUCCUGGAGCUCAACUCCAGAACUGCCUUUGAUACUGAGGAUCUUGAGUCCGGGAGAGGUGAGUGGAACUGCGAGUGUAGAGGUGAAAUUCGUAGAUAUUCGCAGGAACACCAGUGGCGAAGGCGGCUCACUGGCCCGGUACUGACGCUGAGGCACGAAAGCGUGGGGAGCAAACAGG
This 253-nucleotide ribosomal RNA is filed under the name uncultured bacterium. Its description in RNAcentral is "partial 16S ribosomal RNA". It matches the Rfam family "Bacterial small subunit ribosomal RNA", at positions 524 to 776 of the family's 1533-position model. The record is from RNAcentral.